This is an RNA transcript of Lagenorhynchus albirostris (white-beaked dolphin), 1853 nucleotides long. It is a transcript of the gene named mitochondrial ribosomal protein L1, with no coding region annotated. Lineage: Eukaryota; Metazoa; Chordata; Mammalia; Artiodactyla; Delphinidae. The transcript has 13 exons. The record is from RefSeq and is a predicted model, not a curated record.
UUUCCAAGUUGAAGCGUGGGACCAAUUUCGACAACACAAUCCGGAAUGGUCAACAUGGCGGCGGCUGUAAGAUGCCUCGGUAGAGUCCUGAUACAUCAGCAAAGGCAUAGUCUUUCCAAGGUGGCUUCUCAGACAUCUCUUUAUCCUUGUUCUGUGUACGUUCUGGUGCCCAACAGACAUUUUGCUGCUGCUACAAGGCCUGCAAAGAAAACAAAAAAAGGUGCCAAAGAAAAAGCAUCGGAUGAGAAAAAAGAUGAGAUAGAAAAAAUAAAGUCAUAUCCCUUUAUGGAAGGUGAACCUGAAGAUGAUGUCUACCUAAAACGCUUAUAUCCAAGGCAGAUAUACGAGGUGGAGAAAGCUAUUCACUUACUUAAGAAAUUUCAAGUUCUGGACUUUACUAAUCCAAAGCAAGGUGUCUAUCUUGAUUUGACACUGGAUAUGACACUGGGGAAGAAGAAAAAAGUGGAGCCGUUUGCCAGUGUUCUUAGUUUGCCAUACCCAUUUGUUUCAGAGACCAGUAAAGUUGCUGUAUUUACAGGGAAUGCAUCAGAGAUAAAAAUAGCAGAAGAAAAUGGAGCUGCAUUUGCAGGAGGAACUAAUCUGAUUCAGAAGAUUUUGGAUGAUGAAAUUCAACCAGACUUUUAUGUAGCUGUUCCAGAAAUAAUGCCGGAGCUUAAUCCAUUAAGGAAGAAACUGAAAAACAGAUUUCCUAAGCUUACUCGAAAUUCCAUUGGCCGAGACAUCCCCAAAAUGCUUGAAUUAUUUAAAACUGGACAUGAAAUUAAGGUAGAUGAAGAAAGGGAGAACUUUCUGGAGACCAAAAUAGGAACACUGGAUAUGUCAAGUGACCAGAUAGCUGCCAAUCUGCAAGCAGUUAUCAGUGAAGUUUGUAGGCAAAGACCGCUGAAUUUGGGACCCUUUGUGGUACGUGCUUUCCUUCGAAGUUCAACAAGUGAAGAGAAUGAGAGACAGAGAAACAGAGGGAACAUGUACGCACAUGAUGUUAUAUAAAGGCAAUAAGUGUACCAAGGAAGACAAAGAAAUGAAUUUUGAUGGAAAAAUUCUGAGAAGUUUGCUGCAGCUUCAUAGGUCAAAGAUGAAAACUAUGAUUUCUAAAUCUAAGUAGACGAACUUCAAGCAGGAUAAUUGAAAGGAAAACCAUUCUAAGGCAUAUCAUAUUCAAUUUGUUGAGAACCAGUGGUAACAUAAAACUCAAAAGCAGCCAGAGAGAAAAAGAAACAUUAAAUACAGGGGUACCAAGAUAAGAAUUACUGAUUUCUUGUCAGAAAUAAUGCAAGCCAAAUAGGGAAUGGAAUGAUAACUUUAACAUGCUUAAAAAAAAGUUAAUGUAGGGCUUCCCUGGUGGCGCAGUGGUUGAGAGUCCGCCUGCCGAUGCAGGGGACAUGGGUUCGUGCCCUGGUCCGGGAAGAUCCCACAUGCCGCGGAGCGGCUAGGCCUGUGAGCCAUGACCACUGAGCCUGCGCGUCUGGAGCCUGUGCUCCGCAACAGGAGAGGCCAGAACAGUGAGAGGCCCAUGUACCGCCAAAAAAAAAAAAAAAAGUUAAUGUAGAAUUCUAUGUCAAGUGAAAAUAUCCUUCAAAAAUGAGAGAAGCAUAAAGACUUUUUUGACAAAUAAAACACAGAAAAUUUAUUUCCAGCAGACCUGAAUUACAAGAAGUGUUAAAGGAAGUCCUUCUAGAGGAAGAAAACUGAUACCAGUAUAAACCCAGUUCUAUACAAAUGAAUGAAGAAUGCCAGAAAUGGAAAAUUUGUGGGAAACUAUGAAAAAUGCUUUUCUGAUUUUUAUCCUUUCUUUUAAAAAAAUUACCUUUUAAAAGCAAAUGUAAUAACAG